GAUGAACGCUGGCGGCGUGCCUAAUACAUGCAAGUCGAGCGAACAGACGAGGAGCUUGCUCCUCUGACGUUGGCGGCGGACGGGUGAGUAACACGUGGAUAACCUACCUAUAAGACUGGGAUAACUUCGGGAAACCGGAGCUAAUACCGGAUAAUAUAUUGAACCGCAUGGUUCAAUAGUGAAAGACGGUUUUGCUGUCACUUAUAGAUGGAUCCGCGCCGCAUUAACUAGUUGGUAAGGUAACGGCUUACCAAGGCAACGGUGCGUAGCCGACCUGAUGGGGGGUACGCCCCCACGGGAGGUGAGACACGGUCCAGACUCCGAGGGAAGGCAGCAGCAGGGAAUCUUCCGAACAGGGCGAAAGCUUGACGGAGCAACGCCGGGGUGGUGAUGAAGGGCUUCGGAUGGGAAAACGCUGUUAUUAGGGAAGAACAAAUGUGUAAGUAACUAUGCACGUCUGAAGGGUACCGAUGCAGAAGGCCACGGUUAACUACGU
This 496-nucleotide ribosomal RNA is filed under the name uncultured bacterium. Its description in RNAcentral is "partial 16S ribosomal RNA". It matches the Rfam family "Bacterial small subunit ribosomal RNA", at positions 28 to 506 of the family's 1533-position model. The record is from RNAcentral.